Molecule: small RNA, 2162 nt
Filed under: Rattus norvegicus (Norway rat)
Lineage: Eukaryota; Metazoa; Chordata; Mammalia; Rodentia; Muridae
Description: uncharacterized LOC108348573
Source: RNAcentral
UUUCUUUCUUUCUGCCUGCCUGUCUGUCUGUCUCUCUUCCUUUGGUUUUCAUCUUCCUAACUGGCAAAGAUGAAAAGGGUCAGAACUUCUCUGAUGAGAGAGAUACACACCAAGGAUUCGAGGUCACAACCACAGUGAACAUGUAACUUCAACUUAGACAGCACUUCUUAAAACCUUUUUUACUGAUGCACCAAAAUCCUAAUCAUCGCCUAGUCACUCCAUAUCCUCCUUCCACCCUUCCAAAAAUAAACCUAAUUAAUUAAUCAAUUACAUUUUAAAAAGAAAUCUCACUAUGGAAGCUGUAAUAUGUCACAAUGUGUCACACAGUAUAUACCCUUUUGUCCAUACAUCUUUACUUGCAAAUGUUCAUUGCAAUGAGUCAUUGGUGUGGUUCGAGACCUUUGGCUUCUUCUACACUCAGUACUGUGUCCUCACUGGGACUCUUCUCUGAUAUCCCGUUGUUGCCCUGUUUCAUGGAGAUUCUGUAGCUUUGGUUCUAUAGAACCGCAUGCUCUAGCACCUCACAGAUGGGGUAGAUGUUGGGGUGGAAUAACUAAAAGCACUGGAUCUGGGCAGGGUGGUAGCUGAGUUGGUCAGCCUGCCAACUCUUCUGUGCCUAAGCUACCAGAGCAGUGCCCAGGAGAGGGAUGAGGCCUGCUCUCAUGCCCUCAGAGCUGGCUCUCCCAAGCUGCCCGGGUGAAGGACAAGGCCCACCUGGACGUCUCCAUGACCUCAGGUGGCAGCAGAGGUUACCCAUGCCAGGCUGUUCCUUACUGUCAUUGCAUCUCCAGUUCUGCCUCUCUGUGCACAAACAUCUCUGCUUCUCUUCUCUCUCUACCACAUACUUGUUCAUUGUAAUACUCUGGCUCCUUGGACAGCACUUUUAACAGCUAACUGACAUCCAAAAUGGUCCAUCCAUUUUUCACUCGGUUCAAAGAGAUGAACUGCAAUAGAAAGUGAUGGGAACCAUUAUCCAUGCAUUUAAAAAUUGUGUGUGUGUUUAUUUCACUACAUUUACUAAUGUAUUUAAGCAUAUGUUAUAUAUCACAUACUAUAUACCAUAUAUCAUAUAUCACAAUAAUACAUCAUGUAUUGUAAAUAAUAUACCACAUAUUAAUAUGAUAUUAACAUAUAUAAUAUGUUAAUAUUAUAUAUGCAUAUAUAAUUUUGGGAUGCUGGGGAUGAAUCCCCAUGCUUUCUACAUCUUGGUUGUCUGUAAGUCUUCACAAGUGAUUGCAGCCAUUGAAAUUCCUCCUGAGAUCUUUUGAUUUUAGGAUGAGAGGGUCUUCCCCUUAAUAUGAGAUACCUGCCAAGAGUAGCUAUCCCAAUUACACCUGCAGACCUAGGAAAGAGGAUCCAAGUGUAUGACACAAGUCAGUAUGAUCUGGGAACUCAGCCUCUCGGCUGAAGAACAGAAUGUCUUUGUACAGUAUCAACCUAGUCUUAUACCCAGUGGUCAUGGAAAGGACUACGUCCCUCCACCCGGUGCAUGUUACACUGGUAAAUGUCUCUCUGUGGCAUGAGCAGGGGACCACCAAUAGAACACACUGUGGUAAUGGCACAAUAACUUAGAGCAACAAUAUUUGUUCUGUCUUCAAUGAUUGGUGCUUGAGUCUUUUAUUAGUCAAGGUACUCUAGAGAAGCUUAAUUUAUAGAAUGAAUAUAUGUGUGUAUACUGGAUAUAUAAUUAAUUAUAUGACUAGAUAAUAAUAUAUAAUGAAUAUAUGUGAUCUAUUAGAGUGGCUUAUAGGCUGUGGUCCAACUAUUCUAACAAUUGUAGUCUCCUGACAGAAAGUCCAGGAAAUCCAGCCAUGAGGCUGGAUGACUCAGCUGGUCUUCAGUGUAUGUCAGAAUCCUGGAGAAGUAGGCUCUGAUGCCAAUGAAGAAAUGGACUUGCUAGUGAGAAUGAGGGCAUGCGGGCAUGCAGGCAGAGAACAAGCUUUCUUCUUCCCUGUCACCGGGUGACACCAGAAGACUAACGUUAAAUGGAGGCUGGAGAGGAAGAUGGCUCAGCAGAUGAGAGCACUUACUACUUUUGCAGAGGACCUGGAUUUGGUUCCAUGGGACCUGAUGUUCCCCGCUGGCCUCUGUAGGCACCCGUAUGAAUGUUGUGCAAAGAACUCCACACACAUACCCCUAACAAUAAAAAGCAAACUUAAAAA